RNAcentral lists this ribosomal RNA (650 nucleotides) under uncultured bacterium. RNAcentral's name for it is "bacterial SSU rRNA". It matches the Rfam family "Bacterial small subunit ribosomal RNA", at positions 79 to 765 of the family's 1533-position model. The record is from RNAcentral.
GGAGGCAUUCGGGUGAGCGGCGGAGGGUUAGUAACGCGUGGGAACGUACCUUUUGGUAAGGAAUAGCCACUGGAAACGGUGAGUAAUACCUUAUACGCCCUUCGGGGGAAGGAUUUAUCGCCGAGAGAUCGGCCCGCGUUAGAUUAGGUAGUUGGUAGGGUAACGGCCUACCAAGCCUACGAUCUAUAGCUGGUUUUAGAGGAUGAUCAGCAACACUGGGACUGAGACACGGCCCAGACUCCUACGGGAGGCAGCAGUGGGGAAUCUUGGACAAUGGGCGCAAGCCUGAUCCAGCCAUGCCGCGUGUGUGAUGAAGGCCCUAGGGUCGUAAAGCUCUUUCGCCAGGGAUGAUAAUGACAGUACCUGGCAAAGAAACCCCGGCUAACUCCGUGCCAGCAGCCGCGGUAAUACGGAGGGGGUUAGCGUUGUUCGGAAUUACUGGGCGUAAAGCGUACGUAGGCGGACUAUUAAGUCAGGGGUGAAAUCCCGGGGCUCAACCCCGGAACUGCCUUUGAUACUGGUAGUCUAGAGUUCGAGAGAGGUGAGUGGAAUUCCGAGUGUAGAGGUGAAAUUCGUAGAUAUUCGGAGGAACACCAGUGGCGAAGGCGGCUCACUGGCUCGAUACUGACGCUGAGGUACGAAAGUGUGGG